AUACGGAGGGUGCAAGCGUUAAUCGGAAUUACUGGGCGUAAAGCGUACGUAGGCGGUCCGUUAAGUUAGAUGUGAAAGCCCCGGGCUUAACCUGGGAACUGCAUUUAAAACUGGCGGACUAGAGUUGAGUAGAGGGGAGUGGAAUUUCAGGUGUAACAGUGAAAUGCGUAGAGAUCUGAAGGAACACCAGUGGCGAAGGCGACUCCCUGGACUCGAACUGACGCUGAGGUACGAAAGCGUGGGUAGCAAACGGGAUUAGAAACCCCGGUAGUCC
This 274-nucleotide ribosomal RNA is filed under the name uncultured bacterium. Its description in RNAcentral is "partial 16S ribosomal RNA". It matches the Rfam family "Bacterial small subunit ribosomal RNA", at positions 523 to 796 of the family's 1533-position model. The record is from RNAcentral.